RNAcentral lists this ribosomal RNA (233 nucleotides) under uncultured bacterium. RNAcentral describes it as "partial 16S ribosomal RNA". It matches the Rfam family "Bacterial small subunit ribosomal RNA", at positions 118 to 346 of the family's 1533-position model. The record is from RNAcentral.
UGAGGAACAUGACCUUCGGCGGGGGAUAGCCGGCCCAACGGCCGGGUGAUACCGCGUACGACCACAUGGGGACAUCCCUGAGUGGUGAAAGCAGCAAUGCGCCGAUGGAGUGCCUCGCGGCCUAUCAGCUAGUUGGUGAGGUAACGGCUCACCAAGGCGACGGACGGGUANCUGGUCUGAGAGGAUGGCCAGUCACAUUGGGACUGAGACACGGCCCAGAUCCCGUAACGGGG